CCCUCCCUUGUUUCUCCCGCCUAUAUACCACCGUCGUCAGCUUACCCUGUGAAGGAUUUAUAGUGAGCACAACUGGCAAAGCCCAGAACGUCAGGUCGAGGUGUAGUGCAUGAGAGGGGAAGAAAUGGGCUACAUUCGCUGCCCCAGCGAACACGAAUGAUGCAUUGAAACAUGCAGCUGAAGGUGGAUUUAGCAGUAAGUAGGAAGCAGAGAGUCCCACUGAAACCGGCUCUUAAGCGUGCACACACCGCCCGUCACCCUCCCCAAGCCCCUGGACCUAAACUUCCCAUCAAACCACAACAAACGCGAAGGUGAGGAAAGUCGUAACAUGGUAAGCGUACCGGAAGGUGCGCUUGGUAAAAU
This 363-nucleotide ribosomal RNA is filed under the name Selar boops (oxeye scad). RNAcentral describes it as "partial 12S ribosomal RNA". It matches the Rfam family "Bacterial small subunit ribosomal RNA", at positions 1019 to 1533 of the family's 1533-position model. Lineage: Eukaryota; Metazoa; Chordata; Actinopteri; Carangiformes; Carangidae. The record is from RNAcentral.